GACGAAGGAUGCAAGCGUUAUCCGGAUUCAUUGGGUUUAAAGGGAGCGUAGGCGGUCUUGUAAGUCAGUGGUGAAAUCUUUGGGCUUAACCCAGAAACUGCCAUUGAUACUGCAGGACUUGAGUACAGAUGCUGUGGGCGGAAUAUGACAUGUAGUGGUGAAAUACAUAGAGAUGUCAUAGAACACCGAUUGCGAAGGCAGCUCACAAAACUGUAACUGACGCUGAGGCUCGAAAGUGUGGGGAUCAAACAGG
RNAcentral lists this ribosomal RNA (253 nucleotides) under uncultured bacterium. Its description in RNAcentral is "partial 16S ribosomal RNA". It matches the Rfam family "Bacterial small subunit ribosomal RNA", at positions 524 to 776 of the family's 1533-position model. The record is from RNAcentral.